UACGAAGGGUGCAAGCGUUACUCGGAAUUACUGGGCGUAAAGCGUGCGUAGGUGGUUUGUUAAGUCUGUUGUGAAAGCCCCGGGCUCAACCUGGGAAUGGCAAUGGAUACUGGCAGGCUAGAGUGCGGUAGAGGGUAGUGGAAUUCCCGGUGUAGCGGUGAAAUGCGUAGAGAUCGGGGAGGAACACCCGUGGCGAAGGCGGCCACCUGGGCCGACCCUGACGCUGAGGCGCGAAGGCGUGGGGAGCGAACGGG
Molecule: ribosomal RNA, 254 nt
Filed under: uncultured bacterium
Lineage: Bacteria
Description: partial 16S ribosomal RNA
Rfam family: Bacterial small subunit ribosomal RNA
Source: RNAcentral